This is a long non-coding RNA of Hipposideros armiger (great roundleaf bat), 1983 nucleotides long. RefSeq lists it as uncharacterized. The record is from RefSeq and is a predicted model, not a curated record. The transcript is spliced from 3 exons. Lineage: Eukaryota; Metazoa; Chordata; Mammalia; Chiroptera; Hipposideridae.
AAAGGUAACAUGCUAAAAUGGUUAAGCAUAGUUGAAAUACAGUUUUCAAUAUAAUUUUUCAGGUGUUUGUAGGUUGGACAUUGCUUAUGUAGGUAUAUUUGGAAAUAUAAUUACUAUUUGUAACAUUAUGGAGAACUGGGCUUAAAACAAUGGCAUUGAUUCUUAGGACACACCCCAUUUGAGAAUGGGGGACUCCUUUGUGUUGUUUCAUUUCCCCUUAGUUGGAGAAUUUGCUUUUUCAUUUCCUAAGGCACUAAAUGAUAGCUGUGGCCCUCUAGUCAGGAGCAACCGAUUGCUACAAGCACCCAGCAGCCCUUAUCACGUGGCUGAGGAGGUGGCAGUACCAUUGAGCCGCAGCAGAAACUCCUAUUCCUGGCACCCAAAUACAGUGCUUUUUUUCUUUUAACCUUUUAUGCUGUAACUCAUGGUAAUAUUAAAAUAUUAUUCCACCAGGAUCAAUGCAAAGAAAAUCAUCAACUCCGAUUGCAGCAGGCUAAAGAAAGUAUAAAAUAUUUUCAUCAGCACCAUAGUAUUCAGAUGAAAAGAGACAAGAUCAAAGCAGAGGAGCAAAAGAAAAAAGAAUGGAUAAACCAAGAACGCCAAAAAACACUGCAACGAUUGAGAGCAUUUAAAGAGGUUCACAAAGACCCAAGUUCAUUGUUGCCCCAAGCAGAAAACAGCCCACUCCAGACGAGCCUCUGGAAUAAGGUACCAAGACUGUGCUGUGUGAUAACAAGCAAAGUAGGGCCCCUGGAAUGACAAGUCAUGACAUACUACCUUCAUCUUGUGUUCUGAUACACUUACUAUUACUACUCUGUCACCAAGUGUGUCCCCCUUCCGUGCCUAGGUACUUAGUCAUUCUCCUUUCGUUUUUAAAAUGACCUUGUGAGCUACUGUCACCCACUUCACAGGUGAGUAAGCAAAGCUCAGCGGGGUUAUACAGAGCGGGGUCUCUCACUCCAGAGCCACAGCUCAGAUUCUCCAACCCGGGCAGCACAUCAUGGUCAUCUGGGAAGCCUCUAAAAGGACGAAUGCCAGACUCCACUUCCAGGGAUUCUGAGUUUGUCGUCCUGGACUGGGGCCUGGGCGUGAAUGGAAGCAGGACGAAUGCACUGGGGGAAGCGACAGGAAUGCCAGCUGGACGGAUAGCACGUGAGCUGUCAGUCACCAGAGGACCAUUAGUGCAGUGGAAUCAGUAUGGAGGAAGGGAUGCCCGGGGCCCAAGUCCAGCUCCUCAGCCCUGAACCAGUCAGAUAGAUUAGUGAUCAACUUUUCAAACAGAGAUGGUGUGAAGGUGGGAGGAUAGACAGAUGGGAAGUGACAGAAUCAGGCCGCCUAAGCACUCAGCAAACUGGAACAAGGAGUUAAAAAAAACCUAACAGGUUGAUCUCAAAUUGGUUUAAGUUGCAGGUUUUUUUGGUCCAAAAAUACACUUACACAGGGGGUGGUAAGAAGGACUGUGAGUGUGUGUGUGUGUGAUUUAAUGUAGAGAAAAGAACCUUGAGAAUUUAGUUUCCUUCAGUUUAAUGUGAAUCACUUGGGAUAAAGCUGUAGAAAAACUCAUGAGUUUUUAGAAAGGAACAGAAGCAUCGUUUUGUAGAAUGAGGGAAUUCUGUCCCCCUUAAAGCAGACAAAACCAAUUGGAGCACAUCUGGAAGGAAUUAGGAGAGGGAGAAGGCCGGAAAUGAAAUCAUGGGAUACAAGAUACAUGUGGAGCCCAGACAGGUUUUCCUUACAUACAUGAAGGGCUGCCAGGAGGUGAAGGGUUUCACUGGUCGUGGGCGAGCCUCAGGGAGGCGGACUGCCCAGCAAUGUCAGGUAGAACUCAGCAGGCCAGAGUUACAACAACCUGCUGCUGUAGGAUGCUAGGAGGGGAGCCUUGGCUGGCUGGGGCUCCCCGACAUCAGGGAUGGCUUGAUGACCCGUGGAGUCUGGUCAGAGUUUCCGGGAUUCUGUUCUACUGGCCUGCUCUGUGACAGAAAG